GCACACUUAGCUCAGUGGUUAGAGCAUCACUAUUGAAUUUUAAGGUUGCAGGUUUGAUUCCUGCAUUGCACA
Molecule: transfer RNA, 72 nt
Filed under: Phakopsora pachyrhizi
Lineage: Eukaryota; Fungi; Basidiomycota; Pucciniomycetes; Pucciniales; Phakopsoraceae
Description: tRNA-Gln
Rfam family: tRNA
About the family: Transfer RNA (tRNA) molecules are approximately 80 nucleotides in length.
Source: RNAcentral